Molecule: long non-coding RNA, 1607 nt
Filed under: Pan paniscus (pygmy chimpanzee)
Lineage: Eukaryota; Metazoa; Chordata; Mammalia; Primates; Hominidae
Description: lncRNA (ENSPPAG00000044833.1)
Source: RNAcentral
ACUUGACGACGACUUGGGCCUGCAGAGGCCGCCGGGAGGCCGGAGCUGGGCCUGGAGAGGCCGACUUCAGGACGAUUUGGGCCUGCAGAGGACGCCGGGAGGCUGCAAGUGGCUCUGGAGAGGCCGAUUUGAGGAGGCCCGGCCUCAGCCUCCCACAUGGCGGCCUCUGCAGGCACAGCUGUUUCUCUUGGCUGCAUCUCCCACCUCCCAGGAAACAAGCUUUUUGGCUCAGCUCCCGCCUGCGUUUGUAGACACCGAAGUUUCGGCAACCAAGCUCUUCAGACCCACAUCCCCCCUCCCAGUACCUGAACAGUCCCAGCUCCGGCUGGAGAACAGAGUCUGUAGGCCCCGCUGUUGCCUCAGAGGGGUGUCUCCAGGCCCAGCUCUCACCCCACCGCGACCUCCCAGGCCCAAGUCCCUACCUGCCUCCCAGCAGCCCGCGUGCGACCCUGCUCCUCCCUCACGGUGGCCUGUUGAGGCAGGGGCUCACGUUGACCUCUCUCAGCCUGGGAGGGGCCGGUGUGAGGCAAGGGCUCACGCUGACCUCUCUCAGCAUGGGAGGGGCCGGUGUGAGGCAGGGGCUCAUGCCUCUGGGCAGCGUACCAGACGCAUGGGCAUCAACAGGCCACCGUGAGGGAGGAGCUGGGCCACACGCGGGCUGCUGGGAGGCAGGCAGGGACUUGGCCCUGAGAGGCUGCCGUGGGGUCAACAGCUGGGCCUGGAGAGGCCCCUGGGAGGCAAGAGCGGGACCUGCAUAGGCUGUUCUCCAACCAUUGCUGGGCCCGUACAGGCCACCGGGUGGCAGGAAUUAGGCCCGAAGAACUUGGCUGGAGAAAGUUCGGGGCCCACAAAGGCGGUUGGGAGCUGGGCAGGAGUUGAGCCAAAAGAGCUUGCUUACUUGCCGGGAGGCACGGCCGGGAGAUGCCAACUUCAGGACAACUUGGGCCUGCAGAGGUCGCCGGGAGGCCCAAGCUUGGCGUGGAGGAGCCCACCGACCAGAGACCAUUUGGGGCCUGCAGGUGCCAUCGGAGGGCAGGAGCUCAUCCUGGAGAGGCCACCGUGAGGCCUGACCUGGGCCUGGGGAGCUUGGCUUGAGGAAGCUGUGGGCUGUGGAUAUUGGAUAUAUCCAAUAUCCGAUGGAGCUGUGCCUGUGGAGGCUGUUGUGAGGCAGCAGCCUCAUCUGCGGAGACUGCCGUGACGUAGGGUAUGGGCCUAAAUAGGCCAUUGUGAGUCAUGAGCUUGGUCUGUAGAGGUUGACUGGAGAAAGUUCUGGGCCUGGAGAGGCUGCCGGGAGGUAGGAGCUGGGCCAAAAGAUUUAAGCACAUUUACAUUUAUUAGGGACUUUAUUUCCAUUAUUACAAUAUAUAAUAAUAUAUUUCAUAUAUUAAUAUAUUUAACAUAUUAAUAUAUAUAAUAUAUAUAUUUAUUAUAUAUCCAAUAUAUAAUAAAAUAAUUAUAGAACUCACCAUAAUGUCGAAUCAGUGGGCGUGUUAAGCUUGUUUCCUGAAACUGGAUGGUCCCACCUGAGCGUGAUGGGAGAAGUGACAGAUCAAUAGGUAUUAGAUUCUCAUAAGGACAGCGCAACCUAGGCCCUNACAUACCCGGUU